This 460-nucleotide ribosomal RNA is filed under the name uncultured bacterium. Its description in RNAcentral is "partial 16S ribosomal RNA". It matches the Rfam family "Bacterial small subunit ribosomal RNA", at positions 338 to 795 of the family's 1533-position model. The record is from RNAcentral.
CCUACGGGGGGCAGCAGUGAGGAAUAUUGGUCAAUGGACGAGAGUCUGAACCAGCCAAGUAGCGUGAAGGAUGACUGCCCUAUGGGUUGUAAACUUCUUUUUUAAAGGAAUAAAACGAGGCACGUGUGCCGUUUUGCAUGUACUUUAUGAUUAAGGAUCGGCUAACUCCGUGACAGCAGCCGCGGUAAUACUGAGGAUCCGAGCGGUAUCCGGGUUUAGUGGGUUUAAAGGGAGCGUAGAUGGGUUGUUAAGUCAGUUGUGAAAGUUUGCGGCUCAAACGUAAAAUUGCAAUUGAUACUGGCAGUCUUGAGUACAGUUGAGGUAAGCGGAAUUCGAGGUGUAGCGGUGAAAUGCUUAGAUAUCACGAAGAACCCCGAUUGCGAAGGCAGCUUACUAAACUGUGACUGACAUUGAUGCUCGAAAGUGUGGGUAUCAAACAGGAUUAGAUACCCCAGUAGUC